RNAcentral lists this long non-coding RNA (727 nucleotides) under Olea europaea subsp. europaea. Lineage: Eukaryota; Viridiplantae; Streptophyta; Magnoliopsida; Lamiales; Oleaceae. The record is from RNAcentral.
GUUAAAACUAUUUGAACAUUUUGGGUAUAUAACAGCAAGAUAUAGGUCCUAAUUUCCCAAGAAUCAUGUAAUUUAGUGUUUUUUUCAUAUGGAUGUUAGAGAGAGAGUAUAAAUUAACCUGCUGUUGUAGACCCAACCAGAAAUUCCUCCAACUCUUUCCAUGGCAUUCCUCCAUCUCUUCACUUUGUCUACUCCACACCUUGCUUCCAAACUCUCAAUAUCUUCCUUGAAUGGCCCUUCCAGCCUCCUCACGUCCGACGGAUCUACUUGGAAGAACACGGGGAGCACCAGUUUCCUUAACUCGCAAAUUCUGGCCAGCUCCUCCAGGCACCACGGUGAGGAUGCAUAACUCGGCGAUAUAACAGCAACAGCCGCCGCCGAGUCCUCAAUCGCUUCGGAAAAACUCGGAGCUAUCUCAACGACCCGAUUCGUUCCAUCAUCGUCUCUAAACACUCGGAUCUCAUUGGACAAGAGGGAGUUGUAGAGAAGAUCGAUGAAAUUAUUUCUGGCAUCUUCGCCAUGGAAGCUCAGAAACACGUCCCAUUUUAGCCGGAAAGCCGCCGCUGGUGUUGACUCUGAAACGUCGUUGCUUUUCUCCAUUUCUUCUCUACAGUCUGCUAGUUUUCUCAGUGCUUAAAAGUUUUUUGCUUUGGAUACUUUUCUUGUGAUGUUUGCAGUUCCAUGUAAAAUGUUACUUUUUGAGUUUCUAGUGUAUUGUCUACUUUUC